GGCGAUUUCCGAAUGGGGAAACCCAGUGUGUUUCGACACACUAUCAUUAACUGAAUCCAUAGGUUAAUGAGGCGAACCGGGGGAACUGAAACAUCUAAGUACCCCGAGGAAAAGAAAUCAACCGAGAUUCCCCCAGUAGCGGCGAGCGAACGGGGAGGAGCCCAGAGCCUGAAUCAGUGUGUGUGUUAGUGGAAGCGUCUGGAAAGGCGCGCGAUACAGGGUGACAGCCCCGUACACAAAAAUGCACAUAUUGUGAGCUCGAUGAGUAGGGCGGGACACGUGGUAUCCUGUCUGAAUAUGGGGGGACCAUCCUCCAAGGCUAAAUACUCCUGACUGACCGAUAGUGAACCAGUACCGUGAGGGAAAGGCGAAAAGAACCCCGGCGAGGGGAGUGAAAAAGAACCUGAAACCGUGUACGUACAAGCAGUGGGAGCCUCUUAAUGGGGUGACUGCGUACCUUUUGUAUAAUGGGUCAGCGACUUAUAUUCUGUAGCAAGGUUAACCGAAUAGGGGAGCCGAAGGGAAACCGAGUCUUAACUGGGCGUUAAGUUGCAGGGUAUAGACCCGAAACCCGGUGAUCUAGCCAUGGGCAGGUUGAAGGUUGGGUAACACUAACUGGAGGACCGAACCGACUAAUGUUGAAAAAUUAGCGGAUGACUUGUGGCUGGGGGUGAAAGGCCAAUCAAACCGGGAGAUAGCUGGUUCUCCCCGAAAGCUAUUUAGGUAGCGCCUCGUGAAUUCAUCUCCGGGGGUAGAGCACUGUUUCGGCAAGGGGGUCAUCCCGACUUACCAACCCGAUGCAAACUGCGAAUACCGGAGAAUGUUAUCACGGGAGACACACGGCGGGUGCUAACGUCCGUCGUGAAGAGGGAAACAACCCAGACCGCCAGCUAAGGUCCCAAAGUCAUGGUUAAGUGGGAAACGAUGUGGGAAGGCCCAGACAGCCAGGAUGUUGGCUUAGAAGCAGCCAUCAUUUAAAGAAAGCGUAAUAGCUCACUGGUCGAGUCGGCCUGCGCGGAAGAUGUAACGGGGCUAAACCAUGCACCGAAGCUGCGGCAGCGACACUAUGUGUUGUUGGGUAGGGGAGCGUUCUGUAAGCCUGUGAAGGUGGCCUGUGAGGGUUGCUGGAGGUAUCAGAAGUGCGAAUGCUGACAUAAGUAACGAUAAAGCGGGUGAAAAGCCCGCUCGCCGGAAGACCAAGGGUUCCUGUCCAACGUUAAUCGGGGCAGGGUGAGUCGACCCCUAAGGCGAGGCCGAAAGGCGUAGUCGAUGGGAAACAGGUUAAUAUUCCUGUACUUGGUGUUACUGCGAAGGGGGGACGGAGAAGGCUAUGUUGGCCGGGCGACGGUUGUCCCGGUUUAAGCGUGUAGGCUGGUUUUCCAGGCAAAUCCGGAAAAUCAAGGCUGAGGCGUGAUGACGAGGCACUACGGUGCUGAAGCGACAAAUGCCCUGCUUCCAGGAAAAGCCUCUAAGCAUCAGGUAACAUCAAAUCGUACCCCAAACCGACACAGGUGGUCAGGUAGAGAAUACCAAGGCGCUUGAGAGAACUCGGGUGAAGGAACUAGGCAAAAUGGUGCCGUAACUUCGGGAGAAGGCACGCUGAUAUGUAGGUGAAGCGACUUGCUCGUGGAGCUGAAAUCAGUCGAAGAUACCAGCUGGCUGCAACUGUUUAUUAAAAACACAGCACUGUGCAAACACGAAAGUGGACGUAUACGGUGUGACGCCUGCCCGGUGCCGGAAGGUUAAUUGAUGGGGUUAGCGGUAACGCGAAGCUCUUGAUCGAAGCCCCGGUAAACGGCGGCCGUAACUAUAACGGUCCUAAGGUAGCGAAAUUCCUUGUCGGGUAAGUUCCGACCUGCACGAAUGGCGUAAUGAUGGCCAGGCUGUCUCCACCCGAGACUCAGUGAAAUUGAACUCGCUGUGAAGAUGCAGUGUACCCGCGGCAAGACGGAAAGACCCCGUGAACCUUUACUAUAGCUUGACACUGAACAUUGAGCCUUGAUGUGUAGGAUAGGUGGGAGGCUUUGAAGUGUGGACGCCAGUCUGCAUGGAGCCGACCUUGAAAUACCACCCUUUAAUGUUUGAUGUUCUAACGUGGGCCCCUUACCGGGGUUGCGGACAGUGUCUGGUGGGUAGUUUGACUGGGGCGGUCUCCUCCUAAAGAGUAACGGAGGAGCACGAAGGUUGGCUAAUCCUGGUCGGACAUCAGGAGGUUAGUGCAAUGGCAUAAGCCAGCUUGACUGCGAGCGUGACGGCGCGAGCAGGUGCGAAAGCAGGUCAUAGUGAUCCGGUGGUUCUGAAUGGAAGGGCCAUCGCUCAACGGAUAAAAGGUACUCCGGGGAUAACAGGCUGAUACCGCCCAAGAGUUCAUAUCGACGGCGGUGUUUGGCACCUCGAUGUCGGCUCAUCACAUCCUGGGGCUGAAGUAGGUCCCAAGGGUAUGGCUGUUCGCCAUUUAAAGUGGUACGCGAGCUGGGUUUAGAACGUCGUGAGACAGUUCGGUCCCUAUCUGCCGUGGGCGCUGGAGAACUGAGGGGGGCUGCUCCUAGUACGAGAGGACCGGAGUGGACGCAUCACUGGUGUUCGGGUUGUCAUGCCAAUGGCACUGCCCGGUAGCUAAAUGCGGAAGAGAUAAGUGCUGAAAGCAUCUAAGCACGAAACUUGCCCCGAGAUGAGUUCUCCCUGACUCCUUGAGAGUCCUGAAGGAACGUUGAAGACGACGACGUUGAUAGGCCGGGUGUGUAAGCGCAGCGAUGCGUUGAGCUAACCGGUACUAAUGAACCGUGAGGCUUAACCUUACAACGCCGAAG
RNAcentral lists this ribosomal RNA (2810 nucleotides) under Escherichia coli. Its description in RNAcentral is "partial 23S ribosomal RNA". It matches the Rfam family "Bacterial large subunit ribosomal RNA". Lineage: Bacteria; Pseudomonadati; Pseudomonadota; Gammaproteobacteria; Enterobacterales; Enterobacteriaceae. The record is from RNAcentral.